This 473-nucleotide ribosomal RNA is filed under the name uncultured organism. RNAcentral describes it as "partial 16S ribosomal RNA". It matches the Rfam family "Bacterial small subunit ribosomal RNA", at positions 334 to 799 of the family's 1533-position model. The record is from RNAcentral.
CACUCCUACGGGAGGCAGCAGUAGGGAAUCUUCCACAAUGGGUGCAAACCUGAUGGAGCAAUGCCGCGUGAGUGAAGAAGGUCUUCGGAUCGUAAAGCUCUGUCGUUAGAGAAGAACACGUGCUAGGUAACUACUAGCGCCUUGACGGUAUCUAACCAGAAAGUCACGGCUAACUACGUGCCAGCAGCCGCGGUAAUACGUAGGUGACAAGCGUUGUCCGGAUUUAUUGGGCGUAAAGGGAGCGCAGGCGGUCUGUUUAGUCUAAUGUGAAAGCCCACGGCUUAACCGUGGAACGGCAUUGGAAACUGACAGACUUGAAUGUAGAAGAGGAAAAUGGAAUUCCAAGUGUAGCGGUGGAAUGCGUAGAUAUUUGGAGGAACACCAGUGGCGAAGGCGAUUUUCUGGUCUAACAUUGACGCUGAGGCUCGAAAGCGUGGGGAGCGAACAGGAUUAGAAACCCUUGUAGUCCCAUG